RNAcentral lists this long non-coding RNA (789 nucleotides) under Canis lupus familiaris (dog). Its description in RNAcentral is "lncRNA (ENSCAFG00030006535.1)". The record is from RNAcentral. Lineage: Eukaryota; Metazoa; Chordata; Mammalia; Carnivora; Canidae.
AUGGCAGUUGCAGUUGGGUCACCAAGUCUACAUUCCGUCCCGCUGAGUCAGCCUUCCUUGGAUGGCUUUCCUGGAAGCCCCACCCGCCAGCUUCUUACAGCUCAGAACCCUACUCAGGGCUGGGCACCAUGUCACACAAGGCACCUCUCUGCUCCCAACCUACACAAGUUGUGUGACUCCAGGGUCUCCCCUUUCUCUGCUGCCACCCCAUGCCCACCGUCCUUGUGGAUUCCACUUGGAUCGCCCCACAGGAGAAGCUGGAGCCAUGGCUGUGCUUGGUACUCACGCGUCAUGGCCUGUGUCUCCACACUGUCUGGCUACUUGCCGGCCACACUGGCUCAUUUGCCCUGGCACGUGGUGAUGCAUGAACCGGGACCCCACAGAACUCUGGGACAGUGUACUGUACCAACAGCCAGCGUCACCUGCUUGAAACAGUGCCACCCCUGCAAUGCCGUGAUGAGGCUAGACUUUGCCUGUCACCUGGGUGAAGGCAGAGGUGCGGCAGGGAGAACCAUGGCCCCCACCGGCCAACACCAGGAUGAGCAAAAUGGUAUCUGCCGGAGAAGAAGCCGGGCAGAGCAAGGUGGUCAGGCCAGGGCCAUGCCAUUAACACACCCUGGUUGCCUCUUUCGAGAAUAUCUACUGUGUUUAUGAGGUGACGCAGAGCCAGGAGAUGAGCCCCUCCUCUGGGCUCCCGCCGCGGUGAAGGUCAGAGCAAGGUCGAGCGGUUGACCCCCCAAGGCCCCACCUGGCUGUUGUGUACUUGAUUUUACGGUUCCAGGAGGACGG